RNAcentral lists this ribosomal RNA (501 nucleotides) under uncultured bacterium. Its description in RNAcentral is "partial 16S ribosomal RNA". It matches the Rfam family "Bacterial small subunit ribosomal RNA", at positions 30 to 523 of the family's 1533-position model. The record is from RNAcentral.
AUUGAACGCUGGCGGCAGGCUUAACACAUGCAAGUCGAGCGGAGAUGAGGUGCUUGCACCUUAUCUUAGCGGCGGACGGGUGAGUAAUGCUUAGGAAUCUGCCUAUUAGUGGGGGACAACAUUCCGAAAGGAAUGCUAAUACCGCAUACGUCCUACGGGAGAAAGCAGGGGAUCUUCGGACCUUGCGCUAAUAGAUGAGCCUAAGUCGGAUUAGCUAGUUGGUGGGGUAAAGGCCUACCAAGGCGACGAUCUGUAGCGGGUCUGGGAGGAUGAUCCGCCACACUGGGACUGAGACACGGCCCAGACUCCUACGGGAGGCAGCAGUGGGGAAUAUUGGACAAUGGGGGAAACCCUGAUCCAGCCAUGCCGCGUGUGUGAAGAAGGCCUAAUGGUUGUAAAGCACUUUAAGCGAGGAGGAGGCUACUGAGACUAAUACUCUUGGAUAGUGGACGUUACUCGCAGAAUAAGCACCGGCUAACUCUGUGCCAGCCGCCGCCGUAA